CAGAAAAAUAUUUAAAAAAAAGAUAAAUUAAACCACAAAAAGUUUGAUAGAUGUGAAAUAUUUCAAUGUCAGGAAUUCAGUGGAAUUUAAAGUCCAAAUUCAAAUAUUCUUUGCACUUUUUUGCUUCCAUAUAAACCUUAAAACUAAUAUUAUAAUAUUUAUCUAAUAUCAGUUUCUGUAUCAGUCGAGUUCAGCUGAGAAAAAACUCCAAAUGCAAAAUCUUCCCCUCUCAAAUCGAACAUUUUAGCACUUUCCCCCGACAUCAAAUCACCAAACUGAUCAGUUUCGUGUCAGAUUCAUCAGCAUCAGGUCGGCGGCGGCUGUGUUUCCAUGGUUACCUGCAUCAUUAAAGCACCUUAUUAUCGUCAUGGAGACUCCGGAGGAAAAAAAACCUGGUGGAAACUAACGAGGAUUUCUGAACAAACUGAGGGAAUAAAAACGCUUUGGACAGACGAGACGCGGUGGAUUAUUAUUAUUAUUAUUAUUAUAACGGGACGGAUCGAUGGAGUUUAAAACUGCUGAGUCAUCGCCAUGGAGACGGACGACCUGCGGAGUCAGAACACCUGAGAGGUGAAGAACGAUGAGCCGCUGUUCCACCGUGUCCUACCAACAGACUGCUCCCUCUUCCUCCUCCUCCUCCUCCUCCUCCUCUUCUCUCUGUGAUGAAGGUGAAAUAAAACAAACUCUGACUCUCGUAGAGAUCUCGGAGCUCUGAGACGUCCUGUUUCCAUCCCUCCUGAUGUUUGGGACUCUGAGGUACGACAAGCGUUACUUGAAAUAUUAACUCCUCGUCUGCUGGCUGCCAGAUCCUCCACAGAUCCUCCUCGUGUCCUCCAGUAGAUGUUUCUGUCUGUCAUAUCAUAUUCAAACCAAAACAUAUUACUGCAUGCUUGGGAAGUAGAGCAUGUAAAGACGGAGGAGAACGGGAACAACAGCAGCUCAUCCAUUAUUGUGUUCGACUGGUGGAGUUAUAGUCGCUAAAUCUAUAUUUUUUAAAGUAUCAUACUGUAUAUGUUUUAUAUGGAGCGGGAUUGGUUGAUUAUUUUGUAGAUUUUUAACAUUUUUGCUAAACUGUUUUCAUUUUUUUUUUUUGCCUUGGUAAAAACAGCUCCAGUGAGCAGCUCUGAUGGAAAUGUCUGCCUGCAAAAAGCCCCAAUCUGAAGAAAUAUUAACCUUCUGGGCCCACUUUAAUUUAACCCUUUCAGACCCUUCGGGCUGACAACUACAAAAACGUGAUAAAAAACUUUACAGAUUAAUAUUUUUUCUACUUUUUUUUCCUUCUUAGAUCUUAGACAACUUCUGCUAAACUAACAAUGUUUAAACACUUUACAUUACAUACAUUUACAUACAUUUUAACCCUUUAAAUGCCAGUUUGAUUGCACAAUGUCAUUGAUGGUUUUUUUUUAUGAAAAAACAAACACCAAAAUGUAGUUAUUUUCCAUAUAAUAAAUAUUUUUUGUCUGGGGCAUUGGUUUGAAGCCUCGGAUAUGAAGAUAAAGAAAAAAAUUGAUUUUGAUGCAUUUUUAGUUUUUGUGUUGUGUCAGAUUUAAAAUGUAAAAACUCCUUUAUGGCCACUAGAUGGCAGACAUGUACACUUCCAAAAAACGCUAUAAAAAUAUUAUUCCUGAUAUAUAUUUUUUUCAACUUUUUGGGGUUAAAUCUUUCAAUCAACAGAUAAAAACAAAUGCCAAGCCGAAAAAUAUUUAUUAUGUGGAAAAUAACUAAUUGUUUAUGUUUUUUCUUUGAGAAACAGUGACAUCAUGUAAUCAAAGUGGCAUUUAAAGUGUCAAAAUCCUCAAAAAUCAUGCCAUUUGAAGUAUCACAGUCAAAAUUAUUGUCAAAACAAAAGUGAAAAACGACAAAUAUGACUGAAAAUGUCCAUAGUGGUCCCAGAGGGUUAAUGUGGGAAAUUAUAAAAGAAGAGAAGCAUUUAUCGCAGACAUUUGACAUCUGAUUUUCUUUGAAUGAUUUUGAAUGUUUCUGAGUGUCUGGGUUCGGAUCAGAAUGCUGUAAUAUCUGUUAUUAUUAUGGAUAACAUCUACCUCAGUGUCCGCUCAUCAACGACAGAAGCUUUAACGCCUGAAUGACGUUGUGUCGCUCCGUUAUUAUUGUUAUCUGUCACUAGAAUAACGCUUCUCUAAUUAUCAAUAAACCCAAACGCUUGAUAAACUGCCAUUGGAUAACUCAGAGGAGAAGAAAAAAACUAAAGAUGCUCGAGGAAAAAUAAGUGAACAGCUCAGAGCCUGACAUCACCGUUUUCUUUGCACAUUUUAAUUUAUUGGUGAAAUUGUUGGUGAAAGUGUGUGAGUGAGUGAGUGAGUGAGUGAGUGUGACUGUUUUAAAUGAAUUGUUGAUUUAAGGGCAAUAAUGUACUGCAGAGGUUUCCUACCAUUCAAUAAAUAAAUAGAGUGUCUUAAAUUUGAUUAUAAUGGAAAUUAAGUUGAUGGUGUAAAAAGUUGUUUCAGACAAGAUCCAGUCCAAUUGGUGACAAUAAUAAGAAACAAUCUGAAAAUGUCUUUCCCAGAUUGAUCUGAGAAGAUGGAUAGCGGUUUAAUCUCUGGGUGGUUUCCAGGGUGUGUUUAGCGUAGUUUAGCACAAAGACAGAGGGCAGAGAGGCAGAGGGAAAACUGCUAGCCUCAAAUACAACCGCCAAAAAACACCUCAAACCUGUCAUUGUUUUUAGGUUCAGUUAUCAACAACGACUGUGAUAAAAGUGACAAAAACCAGAACAAACACUGUGAAAAUGUGUAAUUUAUAACCCAGAGAUUCCAAAGUUGAACUAUGUUUAUCUCACCAAUCUGCGUACAAAUAAAGCAACUUUACACUUGAAUUACGUGCAAUGCUUACGCCAAUAUCCAGUUCCUCUGUAUCUGCUCCUCAGUGUCUCCACCACAGCUCCCAUAGACUCCUAUGAAAGUCUCAGGACAUGGUAAGGUUCACUGCUGGAGCAAAAAGGUUUGGUUUGGUUGAAUUUGUGUUCCGUCAGCACUUCUCUAAGGUUAGGGGCCAAACAGUUCCUGGUUGGGCUCUAAAAGACAGUUUAAAGAGGAAAUAAAUGAUGCAAAUGGUGGAAAUGAAGUAGUUAGGAGAACGACGUGACUACUGGAAGUGACAUAGUUCAGUAAAAACCUGAUGCAGGAAGUUAAGAGAUGUUUGAAUCACAUGCUGCACUUUGGCUUCACACGGGGCACCAACAACAACGCGGCUUUUUGCUUUUGGUGAUUAAAUUCACGGUUCAAGAAUCAUAAACUAAUGAACAAUUGCAAUAAUCCAAAACUGAUGGAAAAUUCCGGCAGCUGUUUGUUUUGGGAACCAGGGAGAUGCUUGGAUUGGGGAACUUCUGGGUUGGCAGAAACAUAAUUCCUGCAUUCAGCUGUAGAAAAAUUAAAAUAUUGUGGUUUUAGAAGUAUCGAGCAUUGGAUGGUCAAUAAACCCGAACAUGUUGGGUUUUCUAGUUCAGCUCCGUCUCAACUACAGCAGCAGGUUUAAUCUUUUUCCUACAUGUUGUGGUUUAUUUGUAUUAUUUUUUACUCCUAGCAGAAGUGAAUAGUUUCCCCUCUUUCCAGUCUGGGGAUGGUUGAAACUGAUAUCCAUCUUUGCAAGAUAACAAACAAAAAUACUUUUUUAUUAUCAUCAUCAGAAAUUAGUGGUACCAGACUGUAAAAACUUGUUUCCAUCAUCAACUCUGCACUUUGGUGUUGUUGUGUUUCUGCUUUGCUCGGACAUAAAAACAGCCGAGGGUGAUUUCUGUGUGUGACGGAGGCGCUGAUGAGCUGUGACUCGUUACAUUAGUGCUGAUGAAUUAUGUAUUCUGCAACAAUAAUACAGUGUUUCCUCUGUGAGUGUCCUUAUCACUGAAGUCAGAUAACAAAGAUUCCCCACAUGUGACAUCCAUUCCUACAUGUUCCAAGACAUUUUCAUUCUUCAGUUCAGACUCGGCACCAAAUCGUCUCAUUUUCAUGCUACAAUAAGAAAAAGCAAUAGAGUGACUGGUUCCUGUGUGAUUUCUUCUGUUCUGUUCUGUUUUUUUAUUUCCAGUUAUUGUUGCCAUGUUUAUUUUGACAAUCUUCAAUUGUGAUCUAUUUUUGAUAAAAUAAAUCUUUUUUCUUGAUCAAUCUUCAUGUGUUUCAGACACAUGCAGAUGUGUCAUUUUCUUUCAUGUGAACAUUUACACAAGUGGGUGUGACUGAAUGUAAAGUGUGUGUGAAUGUUUGGUGUUGUCGGGAUGAAACGCCAUCACAUCUUGUCACCUUCCUCCAUUCAAUGAACCCUCUGUGAACCAGUCAGUAGAAGGGUUAGAACGGGUCUUUAAAGUCCAACUGAAAUAAACAGUUUGGUUUUUUGUCUGUUAACAUAAAAUCAGACAUUCCUUUGUUGGUCCCAGUGUUACUGCAGCAAAUAUAGAAAGAAUCAUCAAUAAAUGAUCAAUAAAUAGUCAACAAGCAAUAUUAACAAGAAAGUAUUAACACUUUUAACAAGAAGGAAUGUAAAAAUUAGAAACAAUAUAAACAAUAUAGACCAACUCAACAGUUGAAAUUGCACCAUUACAAAAUAUUAUAUUGCAUAGUGGAAUGAAAACUAAAAGGUUAUUGACAGUUUUGGUGUGUGUUUUCUACUGUGAAUUCUCCUAAAACAAUGAGAAACCAAAAGGGAAAUUUCUCCCAUUUUAAUAUCUUUGGUUUCCCCUUGUAUUACUUUUUUUUUUGACAGAAUAGUGUUCAGUCGUCUGCAUAGAGACUGAAAUAAACAGUUUUUUUUGUCUAUUAAGAUAAAAUCAGACAUUCCUUUGUUAGUCCCAGUGUUACAGCAGCGAAAAUAGAAAGAAGCAUCAAUAAAAUAACAAUAAAUAGUCAACAAGCAAUAUUAACCAUAAAAUUGGAUGACUAGUUGUGAUUUCAGUUGGACUUUAAAGUUGAGCCUCUAUUGGAUAGCAGUGGUUAUUACAAUAAUUCAGAUUAACUAUAAAUCUAUGUGUCUGACACGAAAUAUCUCCUGGUCAUAUUGUGGCAAAACAUUUCUGUUUUUCAGUUUUGGUAAUAUACACUGUGUAGUCAGGAGUCAAGAGACGGCACUUUAUAAGCAGGAAACAGUGAAACUCAGUUAAAGAAGAACAAAUCACAAAAUGACAAACAUUUAAACGUACAUCAUGAUUCGUGUGCAUCAUGACGAUGAAGGUAACAGUCAGAUUAUUUGACAGGAACAUGGAGGUGUCGUCUGCAAAAUAUAAAUUAGGUUCAGUCCUAACAGUCAUAUUUUCCUGCAGUAUUCUAAUAUCUGCUUAGUUCUCUAUAAUAUAGUGACUGUAGGGUUGUAGAUACAUGAACAGUUUCAAUAAACUCUAAUAUUUAUAUAUAUUUAUGUAUUUAUUGAUAUUUUUUUAGGGUUCCACCCACCCAAACCCUCCCAAUAUCUGACUGAAGAUCUCACCCUUGUUGCAGGAAGAAAAACACGAGCACUGGAAGUUAAAAAUGUUCUGAAUGAUCUUUAGACGUGGACAUUUAUUUGGGGGAUAUUAUCAGGGCAGUUUGAGGCAGAAAACCCAAUUCCACUUUAUAUCAAUGACUUAGUAAAAUGCUCAUAUGUUGAGUUACAUGUGAACAUUCGUCACAAUAAUAAUAAUUCAAAUAAAACAAAUACAAAUUAAUUAACCCUCUAUGGUACGCAUUAUGAUGCCAGAUUUGGAAGCUUAUUUUUUUUGCCAAUAAGUAACAUUGUAUCAUAAUGGUGCACAAGUUGAAAAGAGAGUUUUUAAAAUUAAUUUUAACAUAAUUUAUUUUUAAAAUAUGCGCAAAAGAUUCAGUCGCUCCAACAGUGUACAAUACAUAACAUUUUCAAUUUAAAAACAUUAUAAAGGGAACUGUUUUAACCGGUUUCUUGUCUGAAUGUUGCCUGUAGGAAACAUUUUACCAUUGAACCAACGACCCAUUGAAAUGAAUGUCUUGAACAGUCUAAGUGUAUGAAACUAUCAGAAAUGAAGGUUUACUCACCUAUCAGUAGGAAUAUAUUUUUUUCCAGAUGGAAAAGGACCAGGAAAUGACAUGUUGAGAGAUUUUUUUGUGGCGCAAAAUGGCAAAGAUGUUUCCUUUCUGCAAAAUAGGGCAAAUUUCAAUAUGGCCUCCUGGAGAUCAUGUGACAAAUUAAAGCAUUGCUAUUGGUUCCCUAUACGCUUCCCUCAUUUUUAAAGUAUUGCAUCACUAAAAAACAUGCAUUGUAGAAAUUUGACAGGCCAAAAAUGGCGCAACACCGUACCAUAGAGGGUUAAUGGAAAAGCUUGUUCGUUAGUUCUUGUUGUGUCUUUGAGUAUUGAAACCAAACCUACAGCUUCAAACAUCUUUGUUGGACAAAAAAAAGUGAUUGAACAUGAAAAUGAUAACACAUUUAAGUCUGGAGGGUGUAGAGUUGUUGUGAAAUGCUUCAUAGGUCAGAAAACCAGCAGACGCCACCUAGAAACAUGUGAUAACCACAUUUAUUCUCUAAUAAGCAAUAAUGCAUGAAAAGUUCAGCUUCAUCAGCAAAAGGUGAUCUGUCUGGUUCUUCAUAUAUGUGCAUAAAACUUUUAUAGUGCCUUAAUCAUAAUAAAGUUCAGUUAAUAACCCUAUCACAUGCAUCUGUACCAUAGAAGAAGAAGAAGAAGAAAGUUAGUAUUUAUAUUAGCACUGUAGGGAGCGAUCAUAGGAAUAAUGUAUUGUAAAUUAAUGUAUUGAAUGUACAGUAAGAAGUCUUCCUGGUUGGUGUUUUGAGGGGAAACAAAUAUGAAAAUAGUAAAAAGAAAUCUUUUUUCUUUGGAAGCUCAAAAUGGACAAGAAAGAUAUUUAAAGUCAGCUAUCUUGUUAAAGAACUAUUUUGUUUUCUUGUGGUGACUUCAUUGUUUAAAAAUGUACUUUUUAACUGCAACUGCAAUUAUACUUUGCAAUUUUUUUCAGGUCAGAUCCACACUUUAGAUAAAUAAGAAGUUUGACAUAUCUUCAUACCUAGAUGAUGGAAGAGGUAAUUUCUUAAUAACGUCUAAAACAACAUAUUUUGACCAUUUGAUGUUGUUUUUAACUCUUUCCAUUAAAUGAUUGCAACAAUGUGAUUUAUUCUUGACAGAUAAAGUGUUUAUCUUCUCAAAACGUUCAAUCUCUUUCCAACAUAUCACAAUGAGAAUGAAACCACAAUUAACAGAGGAUUGUGUCAGAAACCAAAAUUAUUCAACCUUUAUAGGCGACCGUGUACUUUGUUAUGUUUAGACAACAAAAGAACUUGGUUAGCUUUUGGAAAAAGAUCAAAGUUUGUAUUAAAAUAUGUGCUUUAUUUUACAGAUAUACAUUUUGGUUUCAUUCAGAACAUGAAAAGAGAUCUCCUGAGUCAAAGUCCUUCACAUAGUCCUAGCUAAGCGGACUUUGUCGCUCUUUAUAUUACGUCAAUUGAGUCCUUCUUUGCUCCAUUAUAACAGCUACGACCACUAAACUAAUAUAUAGCUUCUUUUCAUUAAUUAUGGUCUGAAUAUUUUAAUUAGUUAUGACUACUUUGUGGAUAACUGUCUAAAAAUGUGAACUUUGGCACCACAACAACAUAAUUUGUUAUCCGGAGAAAAUAAGAAAAAACAUGAUUACAAGAAUAUGGUAAUUCAUGUCCACUUUGAGCUUCCUUAGUUAAAUUUUCUUUACUAAACAUUCCUACAGUUUUUCUUUAGAAUAAAAACUGUCGGCUGUGAACUUUAUUAUUUCUUCACUUUUUUUCUUUACAUAAGCCUAUAUUUUUGGAAGUUAUUUUAGUCCGGGUGCUAUGAAAUGACCAACGUUAGAAUUGUUAGUGAAAGUUAACAUCAGAAUUAAAAACCAGAUCUUAUAAAUCUGAAAUAUAUCUCUUUGUAUACAUGCAUCCCCUGUGACUUUUACUUUUACAUUUUGUGUUUUUACAAACUGAGCCAAACAUUAAACUAACUUGAAAGUUCAUUUUUUUCUGCUUACUGGCUUUCUUUUUGUUGUUGUUUGAAUUGUAAACGUAAGGUUACGUUGUAACCCUGGUUCUCUGAGUGAAGAGACUAUCACUCCAUUCCGUUACAUUGUUCAUAUUUACAUUGUUGUAGCUGGUGAAAUAGUCUCGAGAUGAUAGAGAACAUAUGGUUUGGUUGUAACCCUGGUUCUCUGAGUAAAGUCUUGAGACGACAGAGAACGUGAAGAGACUCUCUCCAUCUAAUAUGAAACAGAGCAGAGAGAUCGGUUACAAAAUAACCCUGGUUCUCUGAGUGAAGUCUCGAGAAGAUAGGCUAUCUUGGUAACCUUUAUUAUCUGAGUAAGUCUCAAGAUGAUAGUGAACUUAAGGUUAUGUUGGCAACCCUGGUUCUCUGAGUGAAGUCUCGAGACGAUAGAGAACCAAGGUUACAUUGUAACUCUGGUUCUCUGAAUGAAGAGACUCUCUCCAGUCAAUAUAUAAUGGAGUGGAACGAUCAUCUCGAGACGACAGAGAACAUAAGGUUAUGUUGGUAACCUUGGUUCUCUGAGAAAAGUCUCAACAUGAUAGUGAACUUAAGGUUAUGUUGGUAACCUUGGUUCUCUGAGUGAAGUCUUGAGACGAUAGAGAACCAAGGUUACAUUGUAACUCUGGUUCUCUGAGUGAAGAGACUCUCUCAAGUUAAUAUGUAACGGAUCGGAGAGAUCGUCUCAUCACGAUAGAGGACACCAUUUCUUAGUAAUGACGCUCUGGGAAAAGCUGGUAAAACUUUGAGUUUGGAGUGAAACAAGACUGAAAAAAGAAGUGAAAAUAAUUCUCAUAGACCUUCUACCGGCAUGAGUGUAACAAACGCAGUGUGUCUCCAUGUGUUUGAGGUCGGUCCUGUGCUCAUUCUCAUGGUGUUUCCUGCUUCUGCUAACAGCUGAUACAAAAAAAAAAAAAACACAACUUUGUCUGCAAAACCUCAACCUGUGUCCUCAGUGUUUAAGAUCUGAAAUGAUAUUUUAUUUUUGUUAACUUGAGUGUCUGUGUAUCUCGCUGUAUGGCAGGUAUAAAGUGAAUAAAAACAGAGAACCAGCCGUUCGCGGUGUAACGGAUCCUCGGAUCCUCCAUCCUGUAUAUGCACAACAGAGUCAUUCUGGAUAGUUGUGACUACGUUUCAUGUGGCCUUUUCUUUCUCUUUACUGUACUGCAAUGUUGUAAAUGAUUUGUAUAAUAUGACAUAAUGUAUAUUAAAGUUAACAAGGCUUUAUGUUUCUACCACCUAUGUUUAAUAAAUAAAUGAACUGUGCUCAAACAUA
Centropristis striata (black sea bass) is the source of this 9236-nucleotide long non-coding RNA. RefSeq lists it as uncharacterized. NCBI's taxonomy places the organism in Eukaryota, Metazoa, Chordata, Actinopteri, Perciformes, Serranidae. The record is from RefSeq and is a predicted model, not a curated record. The transcript has 2 exons.